UUCUGCCUCCAGGGCCAUCUACUCCCCAGGCCAUCCUGCCUGCAUUCUGAGCCCUCUAUGCUCCUGGUUGCCCCUCUGUGGAGGUCUGCUCUCAGCCUGGCAAUGCGGGUCCCUCAAGAGAUGGGCAGGAGCAGACAGGGCUCUUCCCCAGGCCUCCCCGAGCACCACCCCCUCUGGGCCAUCAGCUUGGUAGCUCUUAAAACAGAUCCUCAGUGGCUCUCCAGCCUAUGACAUCUAUCCUGAAGCCCAGCCCUACCUCACUGCCUUCUGUCCUUGGGAUCACACUCUUUCUGAGUAGGGUUUGGGUUCCAAGAGGCUAUUCUGCUCCUCUUACCAUCUAGUCCCUUCCUUCCAGGGCCCAAGGGUGGAAGGCAUGCUGCGGGCUCCAGCCCUGCUCCUGGUGUUCCUGGCUCCUGCCACACAGAUGUCUUCCAACCUACAAGGGAGAAAGAUGUCAGUCACCACACAGACAGGGCUGUCUACUGUAAUCACUUGUGACAUUAUUACACAAAACAGAUAUAUUCACUGGUACCGAUUCCAGGAGGGGAUGGCCCCAGGCCGCAUUCUCUACUAUGAUUCAUCCAAUGCAAACGUGGUAGUGGAUUCAGGGAUCAUUCCAGGGAAGUACUACGCUUAUGAAGAUGAAGACAAGAGCUAUAAGUUUGUCAUUGGAAAUAUGCAAGAAAGUGACUCGGGAGUGUAUUACUGUGCUGUCUGGGAGAGCCACACAGAUGCAGGCCGCCCCCACACUGCACUAAAAUCCUGCCUGUGGCUGCCAAGAGCAGCCGUGUGCACAGCACAGACCCGCAGCUGCCUCACUUCCUGCCCUGGCUGCCCUGUGCUCUGAACAGAGAGGAUUCCUGAGCUCAGUGCCAGUCCCCACCCUCAGAGCCCACAGCCCCCACCCCACAGCCUGAGCGCUUUCCUAAAGCUGCAAUUCCCAUUGCCAGGCCUCAGGCACGCAGUCCGGCAGCCAGCAUGUUCUUCAGCUCUCCUAGGAGCUGGCAGGUCCAUUCAGCCCGCUUCUUAGAACAGUCAAGGUCACCUGGAAUUGAUGCAUCCAGGGUGACAUUAGGAGAGCAGAGUGGGAAGGUGCUGCCCUGUAUACUUUCUUCAAUCAUCACCCAGAGGAGACAGCUGGGAAAGGAGCUUCCCCACUGCUCAGGAGUGUGAGAAACGAUGGACCGCAACCUUGGACUUCAUGAAGACCUCAAGCUGGUAUCUGAUUUAUCUUUUUCAAACUGAUAUUCCCUCAGUUUAAUCAAUCAUGGCAUACUUGAUAUAGUGAAAAUAUACAAGAAGAGUGACUGCUGUAGAUGUGCCAACCACUGUAUUGUACUGACAACUUCUUCUGAAUUUCACUCCACUGCCAGAUCUAUUCUGUAUUAAACAAGUGAAGUCAAAGCUCCUGUCCACCUCUACCCCCAACAGUGACACAGCCAAGUCCAAAACUGGAAUGAGUCUUCUCAAUAAUUUAAUAAUAAAGGACACUUUGGUUCAAAAGAUAAUGAAUAGUAUAUACUUAAAUGGAAAAGUCAUACAGGAAAGGGGUACGGCUAUCAUAUUGGGCCAGGUUUAAGAUGGGAACUUAAUACUGAAGUUCAGAAAUGCCAGGCUUAUAUGCAAAUGGUCUCUUAUGCCAGGUUCACAUGCAAUGGUCCUCCGACUUUCUUGAGAACUCUUGACCUUAAGUCUAGCUCCAAGCCCACAUUCCUAGAACAGUGUUUCUCAAGCUGUGGUGUACAAGCCAGCUGCAAAUGAAGCACCUGGGAAACUUUGAAUAAAAGGGUAGGUUCUGAGUAUACUCAACACAGCGAAUCAGAAUCUUGGAAUGAAGGCUGUAGACGUGCAUUUUCCCAUAACCUCUGCGGCUGCGGCUGAUUCUUACUCUGUAGCUGAUUUUUAAGACCUGCUGUCCUGGCAGUAAUGGAUAGAGCACAUGUGCCUUCCUGGCAGGGGCCCAUUCCCAGCCUGACACAUGAGUGCACUCUAGAAUGGUUCCUGGGCUUCCUCCCAACCCGCAGCCUCCCUCCCUAACGGCACCCCUGGUUGCGGCUGCUCUCCCAGGUCAGCACAGUUCUCCAUGAUAAUUCCACAACCAUCCACGUAAACUACAUUUCUUUCUCGUUUUGGUGACCUCCAGCAAGAUGGACUUGUAUACUAAAUGCACCAGCUUUAACUCGCUCUACUGAACCAGGGACCAGAUAUUUCAGCUAUUUUGCAGCUUUAAGAAAGCCUGUUUACUACCUUGAAGCAUAAACAUAUUCUCAUUUAUAUUUGUCCAAUAGGGUUAAGGCCCCACUCUCCACAUUUACAUCUUUGAUCUGCUUUGAAUUGAAAUUUUUUGUAUGGGGUAGAAAUCAUAAUGUGGACCAAAAUUCUCCUCUAAAUUACUGACUAAUCCAUCAUUUUAUCCGUUUUCCAUGGCCACAUUUGUGAUAACUAGCUCUCCAUAGGCUCAUCCAGCCCUUUCUGCUUUCUCUCCUUUUCCCCUGAAGGCAUCUGCUCAUGCCUGCAGCUCUCCCGAAGGACACAGCUAGGGGUGGAAUCACUGAACACGCACCACCACAAUUUUGCAGAUGGGGCUGAAUCCCUAUAUUGUGUAUCCCUGUGCCAGGAGCACAGCAUUUUCAUUACUCUAGCUUUAUAAUAAUUUUUGCUUUUUGGUAAGCAAGCUUUUUGCCUUUUUUUUUUUUCAAAAUUGUGUUGGCUUUAUUUUAUUUAUGAGUAAACCCCCAAUAU
This is a non-coding RNA of Manis pentadactyla (Chinese pangolin), 2742 nucleotides long. The record is from the annotation of a RefSeq genome assembly. Lineage: Eukaryota; Metazoa; Chordata; Mammalia; Pholidota; Manidae.